AGAGUUUGAUCCUGGCUCAGGACGAACGCUGGCGGCGUGCCUAAUACAUGCAAGUCGAGCGAACCAAUAAGAAGCUUGCUUUUUGUUGGUUAGCGGCGGACGGGUGAGUAACACGUGGGUAACCUGCCUGUAAGACCGGGAUAACUCCGGGAAACCGGUGCUAAUACCGGAUAGAUUAUCUUUCCGCCUGGAGAGAUAAGGAAAGAUGGCUAUUGCCAUCACUUACAGAUGGGCCCGCGGCGCAUUAGCUAGUUGGUGAGGUAACGGCUCACCAAGGCGACGAUGCGUAGCCGACCUGAGAGGGUGAUCGGCCACACUGGGACUGAGACACGGCCCAGACUCCUACGGGAGGCAGCAGUAGGGAAUCUUCCGCAAUGGACGAAAGUCUGACGGAGCAACGCCGCGUGAGCGAAGAAGGUCUUCGGAUCGUAAAGCUCUGUUGUUAGGGAAGAACAAGUAUCGGAGGAAAUGCCGGUACCUUGACGGUACCUGACGAGAAAGCCACGGCUAACUACGUGCCAGCAGCCGCGGUAAUACGUAGGUGGCAAGCGUUGUCCGGAUUUAUUGGGCGUAAAGCGCGCGCAGGCGGUCCUUUAAGUCUGAUGUGAAAUCUUGCGGCUCAACCGCAAGCGGUCAUUGGAAACUGGGGGACUUGAGUGCAGAAGAGGAAAGCGGAAUUCCACGUGUAGCGGUGAAAUGCGUAGAGAUGUGGAGGAACACCAGUGGCGAAGGCGGCUUUCUGGUCUGUAACUGACGCUGAGGCGCGAAAGCGUGGGGAGCAAACAGGAUUAGAUACCCUG
RNAcentral lists this ribosomal RNA (800 nucleotides) under uncultured bacterium. RNAcentral describes it as "bacterial SSU rRNA". It matches the Rfam family "Bacterial small subunit ribosomal RNA", at positions 8 to 789 of the family's 1533-position model. The record is from RNAcentral.